UAUAAUUUAAAGUAGGGCCUGCCCACUGAUUUAUUGAAGGGCCGCAGUAUUUUGACUGUGCGAAGGUAGCAUAAUCAUUAGUUUUUUAAUUGAAAGCUUGUAUGAAUGGUUUGAUGAGGGAACGACUUUCUUUUUCUAAAUUUUUAAAACUUUAUUUUUAAGUUAAAAAGCUUAAAUUUUUAUAAAAGACGAGAAGACCCUAUAGAGUUUAAAUAUUAAAACUUUAUUAAUAUAAAGAAUUAAAUUAUUUUUAUUGUUUAAAUAUUUUGAUUGGGGUGAUUGAAAAAUAAGAAAAACUUUUUUUACAUUAAAACAUUAAUUUAUG
This 325-nucleotide ribosomal RNA is filed under the name Coleomegilla maculata. RNAcentral's name for it is "partial 16S ribosomal RNA". The record is from RNAcentral. Lineage: Eukaryota; Metazoa; Arthropoda; Insecta; Coleoptera; Coccinellidae.